ACUCAAAGGAAUAGACGGGGACCCGCACAAGCGGUGGAUGAUGUGGAUUAAUUCGAUGCAACGCGAAAAACCUUACCUACCCUUGACAUGUCAGGAAGUCCCGAGAGAUUGGGAUGUGCCCGAAAGGGAACCUGAACACAGGUGCUGCAUGGCUGUCGUCAGCUCGUGUCGUGAGAUGUUGGGUUAAGUCCCGCAACGAGCGCAACCCUUGUCGUUAAUUGCCAUCAUUUGGUUGGGCACUUUAGCGAGACUGCCGGUGACAAACCGGAGGAAGGUGGGGAUGACGUCAAGUCCUCAUGGCCCUUAUGGGUAGGGCUUCACACGUCAUACAAUGGUCGGUACAAAGGGUCGCCAACCCGCGAGGGGGAGCCAAUCCCAGAAAGCCGAUCGUAGUCCGGAUUGCAGGCUGCAACUCGCCUGCAUGAAGUCGGAAUCGCUAGUAAUCGUGGAUCAGCAUGUCACGGUGAAUACGUUCCCGGGUCUUGCACACACCGCCCGU
Molecule: ribosomal RNA, 499 nt
Filed under: uncultured bacterium
Lineage: Bacteria
Description: partial 16S ribosomal RNA
Rfam family: Bacterial small subunit ribosomal RNA
Source: RNAcentral